AACGCACAUUGCGCCCAUUAGUAUUCUGAUGGGCAUGCCUGUCCGAGCGUCAUUUCAACCCUCAAGCCCUGGUUGCUUGGUGUUGGGGCCCUGCCGGCUUACGCGCAGGCCCCGAAAGCCAGUGGCGGGCGCGCCGCGACCCCGAGCGUAGUAGUUUACUUUCUCGCUUAGGGCGUCCGGCGCUGUUUCCCGGCCGUUAAACAGCUCUUCGGAGACUAUCACAAGGUUGACCUAGGAUCAGGUAGGAAUACCCGCUGAACUUAA
This 264-nucleotide unclassified non-coding RNA is filed under the name uncultured fungus. RNAcentral's name for it is "partial contains 5.8S ribosomal RNA, internal transcribed spacer 2, and large subunit ribosomal RNA". The record is from RNAcentral. Lineage: Eukaryota; Fungi.